CUACAACUUGCUGUUUUGGGGGGAUUCCAAGCUAAGCUUCCCUGUGUCUGAUAGUCCUGCUAGUUGGGGAGUCUUGUUCCCCUGGAGAAUGUGUCUACUGUAGAACCCCAGAGUCUGGCCCAGCUGUCUCCUAGCUCACUGAUGCAGUGUGUUCACAGGAAUCACUUUCCAGUAAAGAGGGCUUCUACUGGGCAAACAUCUUAUUAGAUGCCACUUCAAAGACAAAUGGCAGAGCAGAAUUUCCGCUGUGUUCUUGUGAUGACACGUAUGUUGUUAGUAGCUGCUCGGUACUGAGUGAGGUUCUGCUGAUCUCACAAAGAUCAAGUUGCAGUGAGACCGGGAUGUCUGGACUCCAGAGCCGAUGACAAGUUUCUGCGUGGUUGUGCCUAUACUGACCAGUGGUUUUCUUACGUUGCUCAUCAAAGAAGAUCUUGUGGCAGUGUCUGUCCUGAGACCUAAGAGGAUAAAAUCAAUUUUGUUCAAAAGACGACUAUGGCACUGUUCUGAAGGCCUUCUUGUCACUCAGCAAAGAAAUGGAAACUGCACAGGACCAACAUCAGCUGGUGAUGAAAUCGAGUUCAGUGGCAUUUGCACCAUGCUUUUGGUAGACAGAAGCUCCCUGCCCGGCCCCUGUUCCAUGAUUGUAUACAAACGGAAAACAAUGAAAUCAUGGCAAUCCACUGAUACAAUUCUUUUAACAAGAAUGCAAGUAAGAAUAGCAAGAAGUCAUCAGAAGAAAAACAGAGCAAGAAGUCAAGUGUAUCAAGUGUGUUUCAGUUUCACCACUUGUUUGUAUUCCCCUAGGUUCUCCCUAUCUAAAUAAUGAUUAAGGGCAUACAAAUCUCAGAUUCAAACACUGAUGCCUUAAACAGAAUAUAAGCUUGUCAUCCUCUUGAUUUUUUGCCUUGAUGCUGUUUCCAUGUCUGGCUCUACAUCAUAGCUCAUCAACACUUUGCUUUCUGCUAGCCCAUUUCAGACACUUUUGCUUUUUUCUCAUGAUUCUUUUGAAAAUAACUCUAAUACUAACCUCCAGCUACAUCUACAGUGACUAUACUUACUGUUUACUUUUGUUCAUAGACUGCUUCUGCAGGAGUCAGGUUAGAGAAAUUUAUCAAACAAAUGAUGAAAAAUGUGCAUAAGCAGAGCCUUAGGUGUCAAUUCUAAGGACUUACAAAAUAAUUGUCUACUGACUUUUUGAAUCAUAAGUAAAAGUUAUCAGAUUUAAGGAGCUCACAGCAGGUCUUAAAGUUUUAUUUUUGUUCGUUCACUUUUAUUCUUUUUUUUUCUGAUUGUAUAUUUCUUUUUUUUUAACUUUUAUUUAAUGAAUAUAAAUUUCCAAAGUACGGCUUAUGGAUUACCACUUUUAUUCUUUUUAAAAAAGAUUUAUUUAUUUGAAAGAGUCAGAAGAGAGAGAGAGAGAAGAGAUACUGAGAGUCUAUCCACUGAUGGCCUCCAGGUGGCUGCAAUAGCCCAGGCUGGGCCAGGAGCUUCAUCCAGGUCUCCUAUGUGGGUGACAGGGCCCAGGUUCUUGGGACAUCUUUAGCUGCUUUUUCCAAGCCAUUAGCUGGAUACGAAGUGGAGCAGCUAAGACUUGAACCUACUGCUGGUGCUGCAGGUGGAAGCUCUACCCACACUUACAUUCUUUAGAAAUAUUAUUUUGUUUUGAAAUAUUACAAUAUAAUAUCCUUAAAGUUGUGUUUACUGAGAUUUUCCAAGAACUAAAUGUAAACCUGAAAGUUAUAAAUAUCCUUGACUGGAAUUCUCUUGUAAUUUAUCUCUUCUAUUAAAUAAUAUUUCACAUGUGAACUGUAUUUUAAUUAUGU
This is a long non-coding RNA of Oryctolagus cuniculus (rabbit), 1823 nucleotides long. NCBI's taxonomy places the organism in Eukaryota, Metazoa, Chordata, Mammalia, Lagomorpha, Leporidae. The record is from Ensembl.